RNAcentral lists this ribosomal RNA (111 nucleotides) under Acetobacterium sp. KB-1. The record is from RNAcentral. Lineage: Bacteria; Bacillati; Bacillota; Clostridia; Eubacteriales; Eubacteriaceae.
UUCCGUAAUGAUGGCGGAAGGGCCACACCUGUUCCCAUACCGAACACAGAAGUAAAGUCUUCCAGCGCCGAAAGUACUUGGUGGGCAACUGCCUGGGAUCCCAUACCGAAC